UCCAAGUCAGCGCAAGGUGAAGGCCCUGAAGUAGAGACCCUAGAAACCAUUCAUCGAAGAAGGAAGUGUGCACGGACAAUCUUCCAACGAACAGCC
Molecule: long non-coding RNA, 96 nt
Organism: Rhipicephalus sanguineus (brown dog tick)
Lineage: Eukaryota; Metazoa; Arthropoda; Arachnida; Ixodida; Ixodidae
Exons: 3
Source: RefSeq, a predicted model, not a curated record